This is a non-coding RNA of Vicugna pacos (alpaca), 292 nucleotides long. NCBI's taxonomy places the organism in Eukaryota, Metazoa, Chordata, Mammalia, Artiodactyla, Camelidae. The record is from RefSeq and is a predicted model, not a curated record.
ACUGCCCGGUCCACGUUCUCCUGCUUCCGGCUGCUGACCACCACGUGGGCCCCAUCCUGAGCCAGACGCCGGGCGAUGGCCAAGCCGAUCCUAUGGGCAUAGAGAGAGAGAGGAAUGUCAAGUCCAGAACAGGAAGAGAGGGGAGAAAGUCACCGGACUGUAACCUCACAAAAUAGCCUGAAUUACCAAGAAGACCACGCCUUGGGUGCUUAUAAGAUAAAGAGAUCAAAAGAGCGACAACCACUAGCAUCUACAGAACUGGUUACCUGGAGACACCAUGACACCACUCGAG